This 497-nucleotide ribosomal RNA is filed under the name uncultured bacterium. RNAcentral's name for it is "partial 16S ribosomal RNA". It matches the Rfam family "Bacterial small subunit ribosomal RNA", at positions 28 to 507 of the family's 1533-position model. The record is from RNAcentral.
GAUGAACGCUGGCGGCGUGCCUAAUACAUGCAAGUCGAGCGAACCUAUCCUCAGCUUUCCUUUCUGACGUUUGCGACGGACGGGUGCGGACGGGGUAGUUACCCUACCUUAACCAACCGGUCAACUUCGGAAAACCCGUGGUAACAGCUGCUAAUACAUCAUAACACUUUAUUCAACAUGGCAUAACGGUUUAGGUCUCUUUUGUAGAUCGCUCCGCGCCGCAUUAGCGAGUUGGUAAGUUAACGGCUUACCAAGGCAACGAUGCGUAGCCGACCUGAGAGGGUGAUCGGCCACACUGGAACUGAGACACGGUCCAGACUCCUACGGGAGGCAGCAGUAGGGAAUCUUCGGCAAUGGGCGAAAGCCUGACGGAGCAACGCCGCGUGAGUGAUGAAGGUCUUCGGAUCGUAAAACUCUGUUAUUAGGGAAGAACAAGUGUGUAAGUAACUAUGCGCGUCUUGACGGUACCUAAACAGAAAGCCACGGCUAACUACGUG